RNAcentral lists this ribosomal RNA (274 nucleotides) under uncultured bacterium. RNAcentral describes it as "partial 16S ribosomal RNA". It matches the Rfam family "Bacterial small subunit ribosomal RNA", at positions 523 to 796 of the family's 1533-position model. The record is from RNAcentral.
AUACGGAGGGUGCAAGCGUUGUUCGGAAUCACUGGGCGUAAAGCGCGCGCAGGCGGCUUGAUAAGUUGGAUGUGAAAGCCUACGGCUCAACCGUAGAACUGCAUCCAAAACUGUCAGGCUAGAGUGUGGGAGAGGAAGAUGGAAUUAGUUGUGUAGGGGUAAAAUCCGUAGAGAUAACUAGGAAUACCAAAAGCGAAGGCAAUCUUCUGGAACACUACUGACGCUGAGGCGCGAAGGCGUGGGGAGCAAACAGGAUUAGAAACCCCGGUAGUCC